ACAAGACAUUUACAGGACAUAUGCAAGUUAUCAUGUUAACCUUGUACUUGGCCUCAAAAAAAAGUCUGUUUCAUUCGAGGAAGUUGCUGCAGCGAUUAGCGGAACUUGAUUUCUUGCGGAAACGAUUUAAUUUAUUUGUGAGCUCACGAGAAAAUACUCAGAAUGCUUUAGUUAAAUAUCAUGGUUAAAUAUGUAAACAUGUCGAGGUUGUUAUACAGCCAUAUUUUCAAAUAUACUGUACUUGAACAAGCAAAUUUACUGUACUGUGCUACAGCAACUGUCCAGUCACGCAUACGUGAUAAAAAGCCGAUAUAAACUUUAUAAACAAAAGAUAAUGUAAAACGUAACAGAACGGCGAACAUGCAGAUUCGGCCAUCUCAAAUAAUGGUAAUGUUGGGAUAGUAGCGUUGCAGACUGCAGAGGAG
Paramuricea clavata is the source of this 425-nucleotide non-coding RNA. The record is from the annotation of a GenBank genome assembly. Lineage: Eukaryota; Metazoa; Cnidaria; Anthozoa; Malacalcyonacea; Plexauridae.